GUAUGGCAAGCUGUUCCGCUUAUGUCAACUCAGCAUCCUACACCGUCUGCUCCGCUUCAGUUACCUGCACCACCUCACCAUAGUGUUGGGACCCCCUCUGCUCCGCCACAACCUGGGGUCUACGCCAUGCCGACUAGUGCUUCUUUCGGGCGUCCAGAUGUCAUGACAGGUAAUCCUUGAGGACGUCAUGCAUGGGGAGUUUUGGGAGUAGUACCUUCACCAACGUCACCUCACGUUUCACACUUGAUUCAUCUAUUUGUUGGAACCCAGAAUUGGAUAGCUUGAGUCUAUUAUGUCAUUUUUGGUCAUGAGUCUUGUGGAAGUUUGUCUCUUAAAUUGCUGUUGGUUUUACCCAUUGGUUAUGGCAACUGGUAUUCUGUGCGGAUGUUAGUUUCUUUACAUGUGUUCGCAGAUUUGUUUAUGGCCGAACGUGGUGCUAGUUUUGCUGGUGAUGUAACUUGCCUUUAUA
This is a non-coding RNA of Lolium perenne, 469 nucleotides long. NCBI's taxonomy places the organism in Eukaryota, Viridiplantae, Streptophyta, Magnoliopsida, Poales, Poaceae. The record is from RefSeq and is a predicted model, not a curated record.